This 748-nucleotide ribosomal RNA is filed under the name uncultured soil bacterium. Its description in RNAcentral is "bacterial SSU rRNA". It matches the Rfam family "Bacterial small subunit ribosomal RNA", at positions 28 to 759 of the family's 1533-position model. The record is from RNAcentral.
AUUGAACGCUGGCGGCAUGCUUUACACAUGCAAGUCGAGCGGCAGCGCGGGGGCAACCCUGGCGGCGAGCGGCGGACGGGUGAGUAAUGCAUCGGAACGUAUCCCGUAGUGGGGGACAACCCAGCGAAAGCUGGGCUAAUACCGCAUAUGCUCUACGGAGGAAAGCAGGGGACCCAGCGGGCAACUGAGGGGCCUUGUGCUAUGGGAGCGGCCGAUGUCCGAUUAGCUAGUUGGUGGGGUAAAGGCUUACCAAGGCGACGAUCGGUAGCUGGUCUGAGAGGAUGAUCAGCCACACUGGGACUGAGACACGGCCCAGACUCCUACGGGAGGCAGCAGUGGGGAAUUUUGGACAAUGGGGGCAACCCUGAUCCAGCCAUGCCGCGUGCGGGAAGAAGGCCUUCGGGUUGUAAACCGCUUUUGGUCGGGAAGAAAAGGUUUCUCCUAAUAGGGGGGACUGUUGACGGUACCGGCAGAAUAAGCACCGGCUAACUACGUGCCAGCAGCCGCGGUAAUACGUAGGGUGCGAGCGUUAAUCGGAAUUACUGGGCGUAAAGCGUGCGCAGGCGGUAAGUUAAGUCUGAUGUGAAAGCCCCGGGCUCAACCUGGGAAUGGCAUUGGAAACUGGCUUGCUGGAGUGUGGCAGAGGGGGGUGGAAUUCCGCGUGUAGCAGUGAAAUGCGUAGAGAUGCGGAGGAACACCGAUGGCGAAGGCAGCCCCCUGGGCCAACACUGACGCUCAGGCACGAAAG